AGGUCCUGAUCAGAUGUGCCCAUCACAUUUAAGACAUAUAUAUGAAUCAACCUAAUCUUUUUAUUUUCCAUUCAGACCCUGAAUAUCAAGAUCUGUUCGUUGUUCACGUUUGACCUUCGUCUGGGAAGGUGAAGAUGUUGAGAUAAUGGGAGAAUAUGAGUGCAAGAUGCUGGACUCCCUGAGGAAUGUGCUAACAUGCGAGGGCAAAAUAUUUUGCAAAAGCCCUGGGUUGAAGUUCAACACCCAGGACUGCAAAGAAAAGGAAAGGAAGAGAAAGAAAUCCCGCCAUCUGCAGCAGUGGAGUGGAGCGGAAGACCAUCAUGCUGUGAGAUAAACCAGCACAGAGAGACAAACCCUGCGUGUUCCCACUUUCCUGUGGAGUGGAAAGAAGUGGGUUUCGUAGAACUUGAG
RNAcentral lists this long non-coding RNA (411 nucleotides) under Chinchilla lanigera (long-tailed chinchilla). Its description in RNAcentral is "lncRNA (ENSCLAG00000027402.1)". Lineage: Eukaryota; Metazoa; Chordata; Mammalia; Rodentia; Chinchillidae. The record is from RNAcentral.